UACAACUAAUUGAUCACAACCAG
This 23-nucleotide non-coding RNA is filed under the name Cricetulus griseus (Chinese hamster). The record is from RNAcentral. Lineage: Eukaryota; Metazoa; Chordata; Mammalia; Rodentia; Cricetidae.